UACGAAGGGGGCUAGCGUUGUUCGGAAUCACUGGGCGUAAAGCGCACGUAGGCGGACAUCUAAGUCAGGGGUGAAAUCCCGAGGCUCAACCUCGGAACUGCCCUUGAUACUGGGUGUCUUGAGUAUGGUAGAGGUUGGUGGAACUGCGAGUGUAGAGGCGAAAUUCGUAGAUAUUCGGAGGAACACCAGUGGCGAAGGCGGCUCACUGGUCCAUUACUGACGCUGAGGUGCGAAAGCGUGGGGAGCAAACAGG
RNAcentral lists this ribosomal RNA (253 nucleotides) under uncultured bacterium. RNAcentral describes it as "partial 16S ribosomal RNA". It matches the Rfam family "Bacterial small subunit ribosomal RNA", at positions 524 to 776 of the family's 1533-position model. The record is from RNAcentral.